UCAUAUCACACUGGUUAAAACAGCUA
RNAcentral lists this non-coding RNA (26 nucleotides) under Mus musculus (house mouse). Lineage: Eukaryota; Metazoa; Chordata; Mammalia; Rodentia; Muridae. The record is from RNAcentral.